UCAAAUUUUCAUGACAACUGUCAUAACCUGUCGUCAAUCAAAUAAUCAUUUCAGAUCUUGAUGUUUGAAUGUAAACGUUCUCUAAUCUACAUUAUUUAAAUACAAAUAGCUCUGCAAAUAUUUUAAGGAUAACUUUGAAGUUUUGACCGUACUGAAAUAUGUUAAACACACAUUCCGCUCAUGUCGUUGCCGGUGCGCCCAAGGUGAGGAUAAGUGGCCCCAAACGACUCGCCUAUGGGGCCUUUAUGGGCUUUUGUAUGCUGAGCUUUCCAUUUGCCACCGUCUUUUUCAUCCCCGCCAUGAGAGACAGAAAUGGACCAGUCGAACGCCCUAACGUAUGAAUUGAAUAGAUCUUAAUUUGUAAUGUAUUGUGUAUAAAAUAACCGUUCUUUAAUAUAAUAUUCAUCAUAGA
Molecule: long non-coding RNA, 412 nt
Organism: Sitophilus oryzae (rice weevil)
Lineage: Eukaryota; Metazoa; Arthropoda; Insecta; Coleoptera; Curculionidae
Exons: 2
Source: RefSeq, a predicted model, not a curated record